AAGACCCUGUAGGAGCUGGUCACGUGAUCUGCUAAAAUCUAGCAGAUUUCUAAUCAACUAUCUUGGAUUCCUUUAAUCAAACUUGCAAAAUAAAAUGCAAGUUAUAAAUUAAAGUAUAAAUAUUUUUCAUCAUCAUCAUCAUCCAUUAAAAUCACGUGACCAGCUCCUACCAGGGUCUU
This is a non-coding RNA of Paramuricea clavata, 179 nucleotides long. The record is from the annotation of a GenBank genome assembly. Lineage: Eukaryota; Metazoa; Cnidaria; Anthozoa; Malacalcyonacea; Plexauridae.